This 1138-nucleotide ribosomal RNA is filed under the name uncultured bacterium. RNAcentral's name for it is "bacterial SSU rRNA". It matches the Rfam family "Bacterial small subunit ribosomal RNA", at positions 156 to 1301 of the family's 1533-position model. The record is from RNAcentral.
ACGCCGACUAGURSCCCAUAGUWUUGGAYUAAUACAUCUUUAUCUAAUUAAAGAAUUUCGGAAACGGAUAGGCUCGCGUGACAUUAGCUAGAUGGCGGGGUAACGGCCCACCAUGGCGACGAUGUCUAGGGGUUCUGAGAGGAAGGUCCCCCACACUGGAACUGAGACACGGUCCAGACUCCUACGGGAGGCAGCAGUGAGGAAUAUUGGUCAAUGGUCGAGAGACUGAACCAGCCAUGCCGCGUGAAGGUCACGGCCCUAUGGGUCUUAAACUUCUUUUGUAAGGGAGCAAUAAGUCUCACGUGUGGGAUGAUGAGAGUACCUUACGAAUAAGCAUCGGCUAACUCCGUGCCAGCAGCCGCGGUAAUACGGGGGAUGCAAGCGUUAUCCGGAUUUAUUGGGUUUAAAGGGUGCGUAGGCGGUCUGUUAAGUCAGCGGUGAAAUUUAGGGGCUCAACCUCUACCGUGCCGUUGAUACUGGCAGUCUGGAAUGCGGAUGCCGUGGGAGGAAUGUGUGGUGUAGCGGUGAAAUGCAUAGAUAUCACACAGAACACCGAUUGCGAAGGCAUCUCACGAAUCCGCAAUUGACGCUGAGGCACGAAAGCGUGGGGAUCAAACAGGAUUAGAUACCCUGGUAGUCCACGCUGUAAACGAUGAUGACUAACCGUCGGCGAUAUACAGUCGGUGGCCAAGCGAAAGCGAUAAGUCAUCCACCUGGGGAGUACGACCGCAAGGUUGAAACUCAAAGGAAUUGACGGGGGCCCGCACAAGCGGAGGAACAUGUGGUUUAAUUCGAUGAUACGCGAGGAACCUUACCCGGGCUCGAACGGCAGAUGAAUAUAUUAGAGAUAGUAUAGUCUUCGGACAUCUGUCGAGGUGCUGCAUGGUUGUCGUCAGCUCGUGCUGUGAAGUGUCGGCUUAAGUGCCAUAACGAGCGCAACCCUUGCCGUUAGUUGCCAUCAGGUUAUGCUGGGGACUCUAGCGGGACUGCCACCGCAAGGCGUGAGGAAGGGGGGGAUGACGUCAAAUCAGCACGGCCCUUACGUCCGGGGCGACACACGUGUUACAAUGGUGAGUACAGAGGGAAGCUACCUGGCGACAGGAUGCAGAUCUCGAAAGCUCAUCCCAGUUCGGAUUUU